ACGUAGGGGGCAAGCGUUAUCCGGAAUUAUUGGGCGUAAAGAGUGCGUAGGUGGUUUUUUAAGCGAACAGUGAAAGGCAAUAGCUUAACUAUUGUAAGCCUUGCGAACUGGAAAACUUGAGUGCAGGAGAGGAAAGUGGAAUUCCUAGUGUAGCGGUAAAAUGCGUAGAUAUGAGAAGGAACACCAGUGGCGAAGGCGACUUUCUGGACUAUAACUGACACUAAAGCACGAAAGCGUGGGGAGCAAACAG
RNAcentral lists this ribosomal RNA (250 nucleotides) under uncultured prokaryote. RNAcentral's name for it is "partial 16S rRNA". It matches the Rfam family "Bacterial small subunit ribosomal RNA", at positions 525 to 775 of the family's 1533-position model. The record is from RNAcentral.